This 388-nucleotide ribosomal RNA is filed under the name uncultured bacterium. RNAcentral describes it as "bacterial SSU rRNA". It matches the Rfam family "Bacterial small subunit ribosomal RNA", at positions 30 to 420 of the family's 1533-position model. The record is from RNAcentral.
AUUGAACGCUGGCGGCAUGCCUUACACAUGCAAGUCGAACGGCAGCACGGGGCAACCUGGUGGCGAGUGGCGAACGGGUGAGUAAUGCAUCGGAACGUGCCAUUGAGUGGGGGAUAACGUAGCGAAAGUUGCGCUAAUACCGCAUAUUCUGUGAGCAGGAAAGCAGGGGACCGCAAGGCCUUGCGCUCUUUGAGCGGCCGAUGUCAGAUUAGCUAGUUGGUGAGGUAACGGCUUACCAAGGCGACGAUCUGUAGCGGGUCUGAGAGGAUGAUCCGCCGCACUGGGACUGAGACACGGCCCAGACUCCUACGGGAGGUAGCAGUGGGGAAUUUUGGACAAUGGGCGCAAGCCUGAUCCAGCCAUGCCGCGUGAGUGAAGAAGGCCUCGG